GGAAUACUCCCUCCGUCCGAAAAUACUUGUCGGAGAAAUGGAUAAAAAUGGAUGCAUGUAGAGCUAAAAUGCAUCUAGAUACAUCCAUUUCUCCGACAAGUAUUUCCGGACGGAGGGAGUAUGGA
Triticum aestivum (bread wheat) is the source of this 125-nucleotide non-coding RNA. NCBI's taxonomy places the organism in Eukaryota, Viridiplantae, Streptophyta, Magnoliopsida, Poales, Poaceae. The record is from Rfam.